Molecule: ribosomal RNA, 462 nt
Filed under: uncultured anaerobic ammonium-oxidizing bacterium
Lineage: Bacteria
Description: bacterial SSU rRNA
Rfam family: Bacterial small subunit ribosomal RNA
Source: RNAcentral
AGGGUGACGAAGCGACGCCGCGUGUGGGAAGAAGGCCUUCGGGUUGUAAACCACUGUCGGGAGUUAAGAAAUGCAAGGAUAUUAAUAGUGUCUUUGUUUGACUAAGGCUCCGGAGGAAGCCACGGCUAACUCUGUGCCAGCAGCCGCGGUAAUACAGAGGCGGCAAGCGUUGUUCGGAAUUAUUGGGCGUAAAGAGCACGUAGGCGGCUAUGUAAGUCGGUUGUGAAAGCCUUCCGCUCAACGGAAGAACAGCAUCCGAUACUACAUGGCUUGAGUGCGGGAGGGGAGAGUGGAACUUCUGGUGGAGCGGUGAAAUGCGUAGAUAUCAGAAGGAACGCCGGCGGCGAAAGCGGCUCUCUGGCCCAUAACUGACGCUGAGUGUGCGAAAGCUAGGGGAGCAAACGGGAUUAGAUACCCCGGUAGUCCUAGCCGUAAACGAUGGGCACUAAGUAGAGGGGUUUU